AAGUCGUAACAAGGUUUCCGUAGGUGAACCUGCGGAAGGAUCAUUAUUGAAACUUCUUUGGAAAUAGUACUGUUGCUGGCCUUGUAAUGAGGUAUGUGCACGUCUAUUACCAAUCUAUUCAUCCACCUGUGCACUUUUUGUAGGAGUUCAUUUGAGGCUAUUUUGUACUUGUGCAAUUUGGCUUUGAAAGGUUUCUAUGUUCUUAUAAACCCCAUUAGUAUGUCUCUGAAUGUUUUUUAUUGGGACUUGAUUGGCCCUUUAAACUUGUACAA
RNAcentral lists this unclassified non-coding RNA (272 nucleotides) under plant metagenome. RNAcentral's name for it is "partial contains small subunit ribosomal RNA and internal transcribed spacer 1". The stretch from base 1 to 46 matches the Rfam family "Eukaryotic small subunit ribosomal RNA", at positions 1786 to 1831 of the family's 1831-position model. The record is from RNAcentral.